AAUGAACGCUGGCGGCAUGCCUAACACAUGCAAGUCGAACGAGACCUUCGGGUCUAGUGGCGCACGGGUGCGUAACGCGUGGGAACCUUCCCUUAGGUUCGGAAUAACUCCCCGAAAGGGGUGCUAAUACCGGAUAAUGUCUUCGGACCAAAGAUUUAUCGCCUUUGGAUGGGCCCGCGUUGGAUUAGCUUGUUGGUAGGGUAAAAGGCUAACAAGGCGAGGAUGCAUAACUGGUCUGAGAGGAUGAUCAGCCACACUGGGACUGAGACACGGCCCAGACUCCGGGGGGAGGAAGCAGUAGGGAAUCUUCCGGGAGGGGCGAAAGGGGGAUGGUGGAACGACGGGUGAAUGCUGAAGCAAUUAGGACCGUAAAAGGCUGUAGGUCCAGAGGAUAGUAAGUGUGAUUAACUCGGAACGUUAAGACGGGACCUAAGAGGAAAGCCACGGCUAACCCCGUG
RNAcentral lists this ribosomal RNA (458 nucleotides) under uncultured bacterium. RNAcentral's name for it is "partial 16S ribosomal RNA". It matches the Rfam family "Bacterial small subunit ribosomal RNA", at positions 29 to 507 of the family's 1533-position model. The record is from RNAcentral.